Molecule: long non-coding RNA, 602 nt
Filed under: Mytilus galloprovincialis (Mediterranean mussel)
Lineage: Eukaryota; Metazoa; Mollusca; Bivalvia; Mytilida; Mytilidae
Source: RNAcentral
GUUUAUUCAAGAAAAAAUGUCACGGGGUCGUGCAUUACCCAAAACCGAGAAGAUUGGAAUAGGUGUGUUCCCGGGAUUGCAGAAGAUUAACACGUACAUACAGAAUGAAUGAUUCCUUGACUCUAUUCAUUUCUAUUUUAAUACUUCAUAAAAUAUCUGAUAUGCAUCUAUAGAAUUAUACUGUUACUAUGCUUUCAGUAGACAAUAAAAAGAAAUAAAAAUAUACACAUUCGCAUACAAUUAUGUUCUUCCAGAUAAUAUCCAAAUAUUUCAAAUCAGUCUGGGGUACUGUAUUCAACCAGUCAAUAUGAAUUCAUUUGAAUUAUUUUCGUAUGCUUUCGACCAUUCAACCAAUGUGUUAUGGCACCGCAAUGAUUCAGAUAUAUCACAUAACUUUAAUAACGGACUUUCUGAUGUCAUGACAACUGAAUCUAAAAUUCUCCACAUUUCUAACAUUCUUAUGGCUUGUCGAACCAGGCCAUCUUCUGAAGAAAUGAUUCGACUGAUAUCAUAGUAACUGAUGUUUAGCUUUUCUGCAAUAAUUUUCCAAUCUCUUGCAAUGAUAUAUGCCAUUUUUUCUAUUUUUCAUUUGUAAAAUAUCC